GAUGAAGAACGUAGCGAAAUGCGAUAAGUAAUGCGAAUUGCAGAAUUUCCGUGAGUCAUCGAAUCUUUGAACGCACAUUGCGCCCGCCAGUAUUCUGGCGGGCAUGCCUGUCUGAGCGUCAUUUCAACCCUCAGCCCCCGCUCGCGGGGCGCUGGCGUUGGGGAUCGGCCGUCCUCGCGGCGGCCGGCCCCGAAACACAGUGGCGGUCUCUCGCGGACUCCCCUGCGUAGUAGCACUACCUCGCAGAAGGGACGAGCGGGCUGACCACGCCGUAAAACCCCCCACUUCUCCAGGUUGACCUCAGAUCAGGUAGGAAUACCCGCUGAACUUAAGCAUAUCAAUAAGCGGAGGA
This 352-nucleotide unclassified non-coding RNA is filed under the name soil metagenome. RNAcentral's name for it is "partial contains 5.8S ribosomal RNA, internal transcribed spacer 2, and large subunit ribosomal RNA". The stretch from base 1 to 121 matches the Rfam family "5.8S ribosomal RNA", at positions 35 to 154 of the family's 154-position model. The record is from RNAcentral.